GUUUGGCUUCAGAACAACAAUUCUUGUUGGUAGAAUAUUUUCCUCCUUCCCUUCAGAAAGAACUGGUGAGGACUUUUGGGAAUUAUGUCCACUAUGACGAUGUUGUGACUGGAGUAAGAGACCAUCAAGGCGCUCUUUCUGUAAGCUGAUGCUUUUUUUACAUGAACCGCCUCUAACAGAUUUGGAGGAUUUGGCACUGCCUUCAUAUUUCACAGAAUUUGAUGGCUUCAAAAC
This 234-nucleotide unclassified non-coding RNA is filed under the name Hevea brasiliensis (rubber tree). The record is from RNAcentral. Lineage: Eukaryota; Viridiplantae; Streptophyta; Magnoliopsida; Malpighiales; Euphorbiaceae.